RNAcentral lists this ribosomal RNA (551 nucleotides) under Ceratobasidiaceae sp. RNAcentral's name for it is "partial large subunit ribosomal RNA". It matches the Rfam family "Eukaryotic large subunit ribosomal RNA", at positions 1 to 550 of the family's 3401-position model. The record is from RNAcentral. Lineage: Eukaryota; Fungi; Basidiomycota; Agaricomycetes; Cantharellales; Ceratobasidiaceae.
AUCUGAUCUCAAAUCAGGUAGGACUACCCGCUGAACUUAAGCAUAUCAAUAAGCGGAGGAAAAGAAACUAACAAGGAUUCCCCUAGUAACGGCGAGUGAAGCGGGAAGAGCUCAAAUUUAAAAUCUGGCGGUGUAUUCCGUCCGAGUUGUAGUCUAGAGAAGCAUCAUCCGUGCUGGACCAUGUACAAGUCUCUUGGAACAGAGCGUCAUAGAGGGUGAGAAUCCCGUCCUUGACAUGGACUCCCAGUGCUUUGUGUUGUGCUCUCAACGAGUCGAGUUGUUUGGGAAUGCAGCUCAAAAUGGGUGGUAAAUUCCAUCUAAAGCUAAAUAUUGGCGAGAGACCGAUAGCGAACAAGUACCGUGAGGGAAAGAUGAAAAGCACUUUGGAGAGAGAGUUAAACAGUACGUGAAAUUGUUGAAAUGGAAACGCUUGAAGUCAGUCGCGUUCUCUGGGAUUCAGCCUUGCUUCUGCUUGGUGCACUUCCUAGUUUACGGGCCAACAUGGAUUUUGACCGGUGGAAAAGGAUUUGGGGAAUGUGGCACCUCCGGGU